UUGUGUUGAAGUUGGAUAUCUUCCAAGGAUGGAGGAAGCUUCAAGCAUUGAUAGUUAUCAUACAUAUUCAUUAUCUAAAUUAUUUGACAAAGAAGAGAUUCUAACCAUUAGAGAUUUGAUGAAAUAGAUGUGUGAAGACAGAAAUGUGAACAGGGGCAAAAGACUAAUCGAACCAUCUAGUAGCUGGUUUCCUCUGAAUUUUCCCUCAGGAUAGUUGGACCUCAUGUGCGAGUUUUAUCGGGUAAAGAAAAUGAUUAGAAGCAUCGGGGGUGUAAUUCCCUCGACCUAUUCUCAAACUUUAAAUAGGUAAGAUGGUGUGACUGCGCCAUUGAGCCAUGCCAUGGAAUCGAGAGCUCCAAGUGGGCCAUUUUUGGUAAGCAGAACUGGCGAUGUGGGAUGAACCAAAAUUCGAGUUACAGUGCCAAACUGCAUGCUAACCCAGAUCCCACAAAGGGUGUUGGUUGAUUAAUACAGCAGGAUGGUGGUCAUGGAAGUCAAAAUCCACUAAGGAGUGUGUAACAACUCACCUGCCGAAUCAACUAGCCCUAAAAAUGGAUGGCACUAAAGUGUGCAACCUAUACUCGACCGUCAGAGCAAUUGCCAGGCUUCGAUGAGUAGGAGGACGUGGGGGUCUUUGAGAAACCUUGGGCAUGAGCCUGGGUGGACCGGUCCCUAGGGCAUGAGAACUUUGAAGACUAAAGUGGGGAAAGGUUCCAUGUGAACAACACUUGGACAUGGGUUAGUCGAUCCUAAGAGAUGGGGAAGCCCUGUAUCAAGGGUGCACUCUACACGGACAUCGAAAGGGAAUCGGGUUAAUAUUCCCAAACUAGGACAUGGUGACGGAUGAAAACUUUAGGAAAUAUGGAGACAUCAUCAGGGGACCUGGGAAGAGUUAUCUUUUCUUUUUAACAGCUUGCCCACCCUAAAAUCAGCUCAACCGGAGAUAGGGUCCAGCAGCUGGAAGAGAAUCGCACGUCUUGCGUUGUCCGGUGUGUCCUCGGCGACCCUUGAAAAUCAGGAGGACCGAGUACCAUCAAUGCCCGGUCGUACUCAUAACCGCAUCAGGUCUCCUAGGUGAACAAACUCUGGUCAAUAGAACAAUGUAGGUAAGGGAAGUCGACAAAACAGAUCCGUAACUUUGGGAAAAGGAUUGGCUCUGAGGGCUGGGCCUAGGGGUCUGCGUCCUCAACCUGUGGGUUGUCAGCAGUCUGCCCGAGCUGCUAUCGUGGCGAGGGAAGGAAGUCACGUGCCGAUUGGGCUACGGAUGUAGAAUGUCCCCUCACAGGGGCUUUUCCCUAGGCGAUGAAGAGUCGACUUAGAACUGGUACGGACAAAGGGAAUUCGACUGUUUAAUUAAAACAAAUAAUUACGAUGGUCCCUAUGGAUGCUGACGCAAUGUGAUUUCUGCCCAGUGCUCUGAAUGUCAAAUUGAAGAAAUUCAACCAAGCGCGGGUAAACGACGGGAGUGACUAUGACUCUCUUAAGGUGGCCAAAUGCCUCGUCAUCUAAUUAGUGACACACAUGAAUGGAUUAAUGAGAUUCCCACUGUCCCUAUCUACUAUCUAGCAAAACCACAGCCAAGGGAACGGGCUUGGUAGAAUCAACGGGGAAAGAAGACCUUGUUGAGCUUGACUCUAGUCCAACUUUGUGAAAUGACUUGAGAGGUGUAGAAUAAGUGGGAUCCAUUUUCGGUGCAAGUGAAAUACCACUACUUUUAACAUUAUUUUACUUAUUCCAUGGGGUGGAGGUGGGGAAUUGCCCCUAUUUUUGGCCUUAAGACAUGUUUCGACGGGUCGAUCUGGGCAGAAGACUUUGUCAGGUGGGGAGUUUGGCUGGGGCGACACAUCUGUUAAAAGAUAACGUAGGUGUCCUAAGAUGAGCUCAACAAGAACAUAAAUCUCGUGUGGAACAAAAGGGUAAAAGCUCAUUUGAUUUUGAUUUUCAGUGCGAAUUCAAACCGUGAAAGCAUGGCCUAUUGAUCCUUUAGACUUUUGGAAUUUGAAGCUAGAGGUAUCAGAAAAGUUACCACAGGGAUAACUAGCUUGUGGCAGCCAAGAAUUCAUAGCGACAUUUCUUUUUUAUCCUUCAAUGUCGGCUCUUCCUAUCACUGUGAAGAAGAAUUCACCAAGUGUUGGAUUUUUCACCCACCAAUAGGGAACGUGAGCUGGGUUUAGACCGUCAUGAGACAAGUUAGUUUUAACCAACUGAUGAACCACGCCACAAUAGUAAUUCAACUUAGUAAAAGAGGAACCAUUGAUUCACACAAUUGGUCAUCGUUCUUGGUUGAAAAGCCAGUGGCGCGAAGCUACCGUGUGUCAGAUUAUGACCGAACGCCUCUAAGCCAGAAUCCACGAUAGAAGUGGCACUUGUCACUCCUCGAAUGUAUCUUGACCUACAGUAGGGCUGUUUCUUUGGCACCCCCAGGGGCCCAUGUCACUUGCGAACCUCGACCAGGAAGCGUCUCGGUCAGGGCAGCUUUGAAGUUCAAUUUUAAACGGUCGUUGAGAAGAAUCCUUUGCAGACGACUUAAAUAUGUGACGAGGUAUUGUAAGUGGUAGAGUGGCCUUACUUCCAUGAUCCACUGAGAUUGAGCCCUUUGUCACCUACAUUCAGAGCCUAUGCUCAUC
RNAcentral lists this ribosomal RNA (2627 nucleotides) under Picea glauca (white spruce). RNAcentral describes it as "eukaryotic LSU rRNA". It matches the Rfam family "Eukaryotic large subunit ribosomal RNA", at positions 725 to 3401 of the family's 3401-position model. The record is from RNAcentral. Lineage: Eukaryota; Viridiplantae; Streptophyta; Pinopsida; Pinales; Pinaceae.